This 253-nucleotide ribosomal RNA is filed under the name uncultured prokaryote. Its description in RNAcentral is "partial 16S ribosomal RNA". It matches the Rfam family "Bacterial small subunit ribosomal RNA", at positions 524 to 776 of the family's 1533-position model. The record is from RNAcentral.
UACAGAGGUCCCAAGCGUUGUUCGGAUUCACUGGGCGUAAAGGGCGCGUAGGUGGCCUGUUAAGUCGAACGUGAAAUCCCCGGGCUCAACCCGGGAACUGCGUCCGAGACUGGCAGGCUUGAAUCCGGGAGAGGGAUGUGGAAUUCCAGGUGUAGCGGUGAAAUGCGUAGAUAUCUGGAGGAACACCGGUGGCGAAGGCGGCAUCCUGGACCGGCAUUGACGCUGAGGCGCGAAAGCCAGGGGAGCAAACGGG